AGGGUUUGAUCAUGGCUCAGAUUGAACGCUGGCGGCAGGCCUCAUACAUGCAAGUUGAACGAGAAAGUAUCUUCGGAUGCGAGUACAGUGGCGGACGGGUGAGUAAUACAUAGGAAUCUACCCAAUGGAGGGGGAUAGCUCGAGGAAACUCGAAUUAAUACCGCAUAAUCUCCACGGAGUAAAGAGGGCUUCGGCUCUCGCCAUCGGAUGAGCCUAUGCAAGAUUAGCUUGUUGGUAAGGUAAUGGCUUACCAAGGCUACGAUCUUUAGCUGGUUUGAGAGGACGACCAGCCACAUCGGGACUGAGACACGGCCCGGACUUCUACGGAAGGCAGCAGUAGGGAAUAUUGGACAAUGAGCGAAAGCUUGAUCCAGCCAUGCCGCGUGUGCGAUGAAGACCUUAGGGUUGUAAAGCACUUUAGGUUAUGAGAAAAGAUUUGGUAUUAAUACCACCAAAUUUUGAUGUUAAUUUCAGAAUAAGCACCGGCUAAAUCCGUGCCAGCAGCCGCGGUAAUACGGAUGGUGCAAGCGUUAAUCGGAAUUACUGGGCGUAAAGCGCGCGUAGGUGGCAUAUCAAGUUAGAUGUGAAAUCCCGGGGCUUAACCUCGGAACUGCAUCUAAAACUGAUAAGCUAGAGUACUAGAGAGGAAAGUAGAAUUCUUAGUGUAGCGGUGGAAUGCGUAGAUAUUAAGAGGAAUACCAAUGGCGAAGCAACUUUCUGGAUAGAUACUGACACUGAGU
Molecule: ribosomal RNA, 740 nt
Filed under: uncultured bacterium
Lineage: Bacteria
Description: bacterial SSU rRNA
Rfam family: Bacterial small subunit ribosomal RNA
Source: RNAcentral